This 253-nucleotide ribosomal RNA is filed under the name uncultured bacterium. RNAcentral describes it as "partial 16S ribosomal RNA". It matches the Rfam family "Bacterial small subunit ribosomal RNA", at positions 524 to 776 of the family's 1533-position model. The record is from RNAcentral.
UACGGAGGGUGCAAACGUUGCUCGGAAUCAUUGGGCGUAAAGCGCACGUAGGUGGCCUGUUAAGUCGGGUGUGAAAUCCCUGGGCUCAACCCAGGAAGUGCACUCGAAACUGGCAGGCUUGAGUACUGAAGAGGGUCGCGGAAUUCCCGGUGUAGAGGUGAAAUUCGUAGAUAUCGGGAGGAACACCAGUGGCGAAGGCGGCUACCUGGCCCAUUCUUGACGCUGAGGCGCGAAAGCUAGGGGAGCAAACGGG